GCAAAACGCGAAGAACCUUACCAGGUCUUGACAUCCUCUGACACUCCUAGAGAUAGGACUUUCCCCUUCGGGGGACAGAGUGACAGGUGGUGCAUGGUUGUCGUCAGCUCGUGUCGUGAGAUGUUGGGUUAAGUCCCGCAACGAGCGCAACCCUUGAUCUUAGUUGCCAGCAUUUAGUUGGGCACUCUAAGGUGACUGCCGGUGACAAACCGGAGGAAGGUGGGGAUGACGUCAAAUCAUCAUGCCCCUUAUGACCUGGGCUACACACGUGCUACAAUGGAUGGUACAAAGGGCUGCAAGACCGCGAGGUUUAGCCAAUCCCAUAAAACCAUUCUCAGUUCGGAUUGCAGGCUGCAACUCGCCUGCAUGAAGCCGGAAUCGCUAGUAAUCGCGGAUCAGCAUGCCGCGGUGAAUACGUUCCCGGGUCUUGUACACACCG
This 439-nucleotide ribosomal RNA is filed under the name uncultured bacterium. Its description in RNAcentral is "bacterial SSU rRNA". It matches the Rfam family "Bacterial small subunit ribosomal RNA", at positions 954 to 1392 of the family's 1533-position model. The record is from RNAcentral.